CGGAGAGGGAAUGUGUUAGGGUGUAGGAGAUUCAUAUGCUGUGUCUGGGAGCAAGCUUGCAUCUCAACAAAGUUCCUGGAUAAACCACCUCUUAGGACCAGAGGAAGUAGGACUUGGUGAGGUCCAGAGCCGCUGCAGGAUUUCCCGACCUGGCGUUGGUGGCCCAGGCGCAUAUACCAUGAUAGCACCCAAAGAAAACCGAAGAAGUCAGAUACAAAGGAUUGCUGAGCAAGAGCUGAAGAAUCUUGAGAAGUGGAAGGAGCAACAUAGAGCGAAGCCUGUUAACCUGGUGCCAAGGCGGUU
RNAcentral lists this long non-coding RNA (303 nucleotides) under Vulpes vulpes (red fox). RNAcentral describes it as "lncRNA (ENSVVUG00000028532.1)". Lineage: Eukaryota; Metazoa; Chordata; Mammalia; Carnivora; Canidae. The record is from RNAcentral.